This 711-nucleotide ribosomal RNA is filed under the name bacterium KW-39. Its description in RNAcentral is "bacterial SSU rRNA". It matches the Rfam family "Bacterial small subunit ribosomal RNA", at positions 181 to 894 of the family's 1533-position model. The record is from RNAcentral.
UUGAUAAGCAUUUAUUGGCUAUUAAAGAUUUAUCGGUUAAAGAUGGGCAUGCGGCUGAUUAGGUAGUUGGUGAGGUAAUGGCUCACCAAGCCGACGAUCAGUAGGGGGUCUGAGAGGAUGUCCCCCCACACUGGUACUGAGACACGGACCAGACUCCUACGGGAGGCAGCAGUAGGGAAUAUUGGACAAUGGGGGCAACCCUGAUCCAGCCAUUCCGCGUGCAGGAAUAAGGCCCUAUGGGUCGUAAACUGCUUUUGUAUGGGAAAAAAUCACCUUACGUGUAAGGUGUUGAUGGUACCAUGAGAAUAAGGAUCGGCUAACUUCGUGCCAGCAGCCGCGGUAAUACGAAGGAUCCAAGCGUUGUCCGGAUUUACUGGGUUUAAAGGGUGCGUAGGCGGGAAAUUAAGUCAGUGGUGAAAGCUGGUAGCUCAACUAUCAAAUUGCCAUUGAAACUGAUUUUCUCGAGUACGGUUGAGGUAGCUGGAAUGUAACAUGUAGCGGUGAAAUGCUUAGAUAUGUUACAGAACACCAAUUGCGAAGGCAGGCUACUAAACCGUAACUGACGCUGAGGCACGAAAGCGUGGGGAUCAAACAGGAUUAGAUACCCUGGUAGUCCACGCCGUAAACGUUGCAUACUCGGUCUUAGCGAUAUACAGUUAGGACCUAAGCGAAAGCAUUAAGUAUGCCACCUGGGGAGUACGGUCGCAAGAU